GGUUAAGCGACUAAGCGUACACGGUGGAUGCCCUGGCAGUCAGAGGCGAUGAAGGGCGUGCUAAUCUGCGAUAAGCGCCGGUAAGGUGAUAUGAACCGUUAUAACCGGCGAUACCCGAAUGGGGAAACCCAGUGUGAUUCGUCACACUAUCAUUAACUGAAUCCAUAGGUUAAUGAGGCGAACCGGGGGAACUGAAACAUCUAAGUACCCCGAGGAAAAGAAAUCAACCGAGAUUCCCCCAGUAGCGGCGAGCGAACGGGGAGGAGCCCAGAGCCUGAAUCAGCAUGUGUGUUAGUGGAAGCGUCUGGAAAGGCGCGCGAUACAGGGUGACAGCCCCGUACACAAAAGCGCAUAUGCUGUGAGCUCGAUGAGUAGGGCGGGACACGUGGUAUCCUGUCUGAAUAUGGGGGGACCAUCCUCCAAGGCUAAAUACUCCUGACUGACCGAUAGUGAACCAGUACCGUGAGGGAAAGGCGAAAAGAACCCCGGCGAGGGGAGUGAAAAAGAACCUGAAACCGUGUACGUACAAGCAGUGGGAGCCCCACCACUAAGCCAGUGGUGAACUCCACAUACGCAUCCUUUGCUGAGGAGACGGUUAACGGAGCGAAAGCGACGUUCAACCUCAAAAGAAGCAGAGGGGGCUUAGUGGUGGGGUGACUGCGUACCUUUUGUAUAAUGGGUCAGCGACUUAUAUUCUGUAGCAAGGUUAACUGUAUAGGGGAGCCGGAGGGAAACCGAGUCUUAACCGGGCGUUAAGUUGCAGGGUAUAGACCCGAAACCCGGUGAUCUAGCCAUGGGCAGGUUGAAGGUUGGGUAACACUAACUGGAGGACCGAACCGACUAAUGUUGAAAAAUUAGCGGAUGACCUGUGGCUGGGGGUGAAAGGCCAAUCAAACCGGGAGAUAGCUGGUUCUCCCCGAAAGCUAUUUAGGUAGCGCCUCGUGAAUUCAUCUCCGGGGGUAGAGCACUGUUUCGGCUAGGGGGCCAUCCCGGCUUACCAACCCGAUGCAAACUGCGAAUACCGGAGAAUGUUAUCACGGGAGACACACGGCGGGUGCUAAUGUCCGUCGUGAAGAGGGAAACAACCCAGACCGCCAGCUAAGGUCCCAAAGUCAUGGUUAAGUGGGAAACGAUGUGGGAAGGCCCAGACAGCCAGGAUGUUGGCUUAGAAGCAGCCAUCAUUUAAAGAAAGCGUAAUAGCUCACUGGUCGAGUCGGCCUGCGCGGAAGAUGUAACGGGGCUAAACCAUGCACCGAAGCUGCGGCAGCGACACCGUGUGUUGUUGGGUAGGGGAGCGUUCUGUAAGCCUGUGAAGGUGUGCUGUGAGGCAUGCUGGAGGUAUCAGAAGUGCGAAUGCUGACAUAAGUAACGAUAAAGCGGGUGAAAAGCCCGCUCGCCGGAAGACCAAGGGUUCCUGUCCAACGUUAAUCGGGGCAGGGUGAGUCG
RNAcentral lists this ribosomal RNA (1446 nucleotides) under Salmonella enterica. RNAcentral describes it as "partial 23S ribosomal RNA". It matches the Rfam family "Bacterial large subunit ribosomal RNA", at positions 1 to 1386 of the family's 2925-position model. The record is from RNAcentral. Lineage: Bacteria; Pseudomonadati; Pseudomonadota; Gammaproteobacteria; Enterobacterales; Enterobacteriaceae.